RNAcentral lists this ribosomal RNA (382 nucleotides) under uncultured eukaryote. RNAcentral's name for it is "partial 18S ribosomal RNA". It matches the Rfam family "Eukaryotic small subunit ribosomal RNA", at positions 592 to 976 of the family's 1831-position model. The record is from RNAcentral.
UGUAAGCGUAUACCAAAGUUGUUGCAGUUAAAACGCUCGUAGUCGGAAUUUGGCAGUUCCGGAUGUGUGCACGUCGUGUGCGCACUUCGCGGGGAUUGCUUUUGUGGUCUUGCGUAGGAUGAGGCACUUUUAUUAGUGAACGUCCUCACGCAACCACUUUUUACUGUGAGAAAAUCAGAGUGCUCAAAGCAGGCAUUUGCCGUGAAUGUAUUAGCAUGGAAUAAUAGAAUAGGACUUGGUUCUAUUUUGUUGGUUUGUUGGGACUGAGUAGUGAUUAAGAGGGACAGUUGGGGGCAUUUGUAUUUCGGUGCUAGAGGUGAAAUUCUUAGAUUACCGAAAGACAAACUGCUGCGAAAGCGUCUGCCAAGGAUGUUUUCAUUGA